AUGGCACUGGUAGAAUUCA
Molecule: microRNA, 19 nt
Filed under: Oryzias latipes (Japanese medaka)
Lineage: Eukaryota; Metazoa; Chordata; Actinopteri; Beloniformes; Adrianichthyidae
Description: ola-miR-183-5p
Gene: ola-miR-183-5p
Source: miRBase by way of RNAcentral